UACGUAGGGUGCAAGCGUUAAUCGGAAUUACUGGGCGUAAAGCGUGCGCAGGCGGUUUUGUAAGUUUGUCGCGAAAGCCCCGGGCUCAACCUGGGAAUUGCGAUGAAGACUGCAAGGCUUGAAUCUGGCAGAGGGGGGUAGAAUUCCACGUGUAGCAGUGAAAUGCGUAGAGAUGUGGAGGAACACCGAUGGCGAAGGCAGCCCCCUGGGUCAAGAUUGACGCUCAUGCACGAAAGCGUGGGGAGCAAACAGG
This 253-nucleotide ribosomal RNA is filed under the name uncultured bacterium. Its description in RNAcentral is "partial 16S ribosomal RNA". It matches the Rfam family "Bacterial small subunit ribosomal RNA", at positions 524 to 776 of the family's 1533-position model. The record is from RNAcentral.